RNAcentral lists this ribosomal RNA (501 nucleotides) under uncultured Sphingobacteriales bacterium. Its description in RNAcentral is "bacterial SSU rRNA". It matches the Rfam family "Bacterial small subunit ribosomal RNA", at positions 903 to 1382 of the family's 1533-position model. The record is from RNAcentral. Lineage: Bacteria; Pseudomonadati; Bacteroidota; Sphingobacteriia; Sphingobacteriales.
CCCUUGCCAGCCCGCUCAGAAACUUAAAGGAAUUGACGGGGCCCGCGACAAGCGGUGGAGCAUGUGGUUAAUUCGAUGAUACGCGAGGAACCUUACCUGGGCUCAAAUGUAUGUUGAAGUAUUCUGAAAGGGAUACUUCUUCGGACAAUAUACAAGGUGCUGCAUGGUUGUCGUCAGCUCGUGCCGUGAGGUGUCGGGUUAAGUCCCAUAACGAGCGCAACCCCUAUCAUUAGUUGCCAUCAGGUCAAGCUGGGGACUCUAAUGAAACUGCCUACGCAAGUAGUGAGGAAGGUGGGGAUGACGUCAAAUCAGCACGGCCCUUACGUCCAGGGCUACACACGUGCUACAAUGGCCGGUACAAAGGGCAGCUACCUGGUGACAGGGUGCUAAUCUCAAAAGCCGGUCUCAGUUCGGAUCGGAGUCUGCAACCCGACUCCGUGAAGCUGGAAUCGCUAGUAAUCGCGCAUCAGCCAUGGCGCGGUGAAUACGUUCCCGGGCCUU